Long non-coding RNA from Sciurus carolinensis (gray squirrel), 780 nucleotides. RefSeq lists it as uncharacterized. Lineage: Eukaryota; Metazoa; Chordata; Mammalia; Rodentia; Sciuridae. The record is from RefSeq and is a predicted model, not a curated record. The transcript is spliced from 4 exons.
UAUGAUUCCUGCCUUCCUCUGGCUGUGGACAGGGUGACUGAGUGGCUCCUCCCACUGCGUCCAGCACUGCACCCAGCUGGCAGGGACUUCUCCUUGGCACAUGGCAGGCUGGUCACCCUGUGAAGCAGGAAUAUUUCUGCAUCUCUUCAGACACCUUCUCACGUGGUCCUACCAUGAGCUGCCAGUCUCUCCAGAGGACGCAAACGGCUGUCUGUUCAACUGCUGCUCCAGCCCUAAACAUGCCUCGAGGAGGGUUCUUGCUCAGUUGCUGAGGCUGGCUCUGAACUUGUGAUCCUCCUGCCUCAGCCUCCAGAGUUGCUAGGAUUACAGGUGAUAAAAGUGAGGUGCAGGGAGGUCACAUGGCAUGCCCUGCUGAGGCAAGAGCCAGGAUUUGAACCUGAAUGCCCCAUUCCCGAGGGACUCUCAGCCACUGGGCAUCCCACCCUCGAGCCCUGCAUGCCUAAUAUACAAGGUCUCCUCCUUCAGCCAAACUCAACCAAGCAAAGUCCCAUGUCUCCUGAACCCCAGUGCCUGGCGUCGAGCCCGGGAUGUGAAACACGCUGAGCCGGUGCCUGGCCUGGCCUCCCCUGCUUCCUUCUCACACCCCAGGCCACUGUCCGUAGGGCAGCAGGCCUUCCCAGUCCUCUUUCUCGCUCCCGUUUGGCGUCUUCUUGGCCCCUUAGCCCUGUUUUUCAGUCUCGAAAGCAGCUACUUUCUCGUGAGCCAGCAAAGUUCAGAGGAAAUCCACGCACAUGUUCUGAGAGUUUCCAGACUUGGUCU